AGUCAGGACCAAAGAAGACUUAAGCUGACAUCUCACGGCAUGGCUUGUCAGCCCUCUCAUUUUACAGGUGGCAGAGCAGAGGCCAGAGGGAUUGAAUAGCAAAAAGCCACCCAGACCUCCCCAGCGGGAGGGUUGCACAGCAGGAUGUAAGGAGGAGUAGCGAGGGCAUGAGAACCUAACCUGAGCAUUCAGACCUCACCUGAGGAUCCACUCUCUCUGUACCACCUGUCAUAAACAACUCCGCCUUAAUUGCUUGUGGUGGAAGUAGAGUACGUAGGCCAGGGAAGACUGGUGAAGAGGACUCCAUCUGUGUAGCUACAGGAAAGCCCUCAUCUCUCCUGGAUAAAGGUCUUCCAGGUGUGGUCUAUAGAAGAGGCCUACGUACAGCCCUGUAGGUAACCUCUCACCUAUGUUCUGUAAAGAAGCCCAAUAGACAUCAAUUCCUUGAAAUGAACAUUAGAAUUGUGCCUCCGUU
Rattus norvegicus (Norway rat) is the source of this 475-nucleotide non-coding RNA. The record is from RefSeq and is a predicted model, not a curated record. Lineage: Eukaryota; Metazoa; Chordata; Mammalia; Rodentia; Muridae.